This 482-nucleotide ribosomal RNA is filed under the name uncultured bacterium. RNAcentral's name for it is "bacterial SSU rRNA". It matches the Rfam family "Bacterial small subunit ribosomal RNA", at positions 29 to 506 of the family's 1533-position model. The record is from RNAcentral.
UUGAACGCUGGCGGAAUGCUUUACACAUGCAAGUCGAGCGGCAGCGCGGGGGCAACCCUGGCGGCGAGCGGCGAACGGGUGAGUAACAUAUCGGAACGUACCCUAUCGUGGGGGAUAACACAUCGAAAGAUGUGCUAAUACCGCAUACGACCUGAGGGUGAAAGCGGGGGAUCGCAAGACCUCGCGCGAUUGGAGUGGCCGAUGUCAGAUUAGCUAGUUGGUGGGGUAAAGGCCUACCAAGGCGACGAUCUGUAGCGGGUCUGAGAGGAUGAUCCGCCACACUGGGACUGAGACACGGCCCAGACUCCUACGGGAGGCAGCAGUGGGGAAUUUUGGACAAUGGGCGAAAGCCUGAUCCAGCCAUGCCGCGUGCGGGAAGAAGGCCUUCGGGUUGUAAACCGCUUUCAGCCGGAAAGAAAUCGCCACUUCUAAUACGAGUGGUGGAUGACGGUACCGGAAGAAGAAGCACCGGCUAACUACGU